RNAcentral lists this ribosomal RNA (389 nucleotides) under uncultured bacterium. Its description in RNAcentral is "bacterial SSU rRNA". It matches the Rfam family "Bacterial small subunit ribosomal RNA", at positions 29 to 416 of the family's 1533-position model. The record is from RNAcentral.
AACGAACGUUGGCGGCGUGGAUUAGGCAUGCAAGUCGAACGAAGACGGGGUAGCAAUAUCCCGGACUGAGUGGCGAAAGGGGCAGUAAAGCGUGGGUAACCUACCCUGGGGACCGGGAUAGCCUUUCUAACGAGAGGGUAAUACCGGGCGACGUAGCGAGGGGCAUCUUCUUGCUACCAAAUGAAUUUCGCCCUGGGAGGGGCUCACGUGCUAUUAGCUUGUUGGCGGGGUAACGGCCCACCAAGGCUGAGANGGCUAGCAGGUGUGAGAGCACGACCUGCGCCACUGGCACUGAGACACUGGCCAGACUCCUACGGGAGGCUGCAGUCGAGGAUCUUUGGCAAUGGGCGCAAGCCUGACCAAGCGACGCCGCGUGCGCGAUGAAGGCC